UAGUGAUUCUGGUGGUACGUCGUCGCUGUUUUUACGAAAAAGUCCUUGUGAUUUAGAGUAAUAAACCCGCAGUCCAUAUAAUAAAGUCAAUCGAACCGGUAUGACGAGAAAGAAAAAAAAACAGCCUCCCGAUCUAGCUCGUACGCCGCCGCCUCGUGCUCUGCUCCUCCCCGAGGCCCCUCGCUCGAUCUGGACCAGCAGGUCCCGAGCGCCUCGGCCUGCUCCUCACGCCGGCGUCCCGCGCCACUGCCGCCGACCUCCAGCCGUUGUCCAUUACCCUCUCCCCCACACUCUAUCUCUCUUCUUCUCCCUUUCUUUUCUCUCUCUCAAAUCUUGUCUCUGUCAGGAACGACAGCGCCAUGGAUCCCGAUGUGAAGCUUCACUGCACCCUGAUCUGACCUGGGAGGGGGUCGCGUUGUGCUCGGGCGCCGCAUCAGGUGGCGGUGGCGAGGUGGGAGGGGAGCACGGAGAUGGGCGCGCGGAGACGAAGGAGGAGAAAAAUGGAGAGGCGGGGAGGCUACGCUCGGGGUCCGCAUCAGGCGGCGACAGCGAAGCGGGAGGUGCGCACGGAGACGAAGGACCCGAGAAUGGAGGCGUCCGGGAGCGAGGACUUCGCCGGCGUCAAAGCCACUGCCAGGCGGGACGCGCAGGCGCGCGAGGGGCGCAUGGCUCCUCUCCUGGUGCGGCACACGAGGGAAUGAGGUGGGGAUCGAGCUGCCGGCACACCACCCGACGUUCACCCUUGCUCCACACUUCGUCGGAACUCCAUCUGUUGGUUCUGCACUUAGGUAUUCACUGAAGCAAACUUUGUAAUUUCCUGAUAUAUCUUAAUGAUUGUUGAAGCCAAACUCGCAUCUCAUCUGCUUUUUAAUAGUUUUGCAUAAUUUACUUUCUUGAACCGAUGGUCUGAACUCUGAAGUGGUGUCUUAUACAUGGUUAGGUAAUGUAGUGGGGAAUUUUUCUGAUGUACAACCUAUAUAUCAGAAAUGGUUGAGCUUGGAAUGAUCUGUCCCGGUUAUUAGUGUUUGUGUUCCUGUAGAUCAAAUAUCUAUUUGUAAUUUUGGAUUAGUAUAUUUGCUUUGAAAGUCAGAAUUGCAUUUACUGUUUUCUUUUUGGCGCAAAAAGAAGUAGUUAGUGUUAAACAUAUGUUAGACAGAGCUACUUACCAAUGGCAAUUUGUCUGGAGAUCUGAUGUUUUUUGUACAUUGUUGUGGCUGAAAACCUGAAACAAUUUGUGUAACUGGUAGUCUGUUGCUUUACUUCUACACUGCUUAAUUAACCUGCGAUUAAUUUUGUUAUUUGAUUUUUGGCAAGAAUCAUCGGACUAUAGAUUAUUGAUCAUGCAUGAAACGUUUUAAAGGAAGCGAAUCUACAUUUGCAUGCUCGGUUUGAAGACUUGCCAGCUGGGUGAAGAAGCUUUCUGACAAACAUCCAAAUCACUCUAAUAGGCCCAAGUUGAGCAUAUGUUAGAUGGUCUGGAUGACAUGGAUGGUGCCGAGGAUGUCCCUUUUGAUGAGCUCAUAGGCAUGCAAGGCUUAGUAUUUCACUCGGUUGAGAAUGCAAUUACAAUAAGGAUCUCUUCUUUGUCUUAUUUUAGUUAGACAAAUGUGUUUCCUUCAUGUUUACAUGUAUCUGAUGUUGUUUCAUUUUAUUUUCUUAAGAUAUGUAUUACAUACAAGUCUGAUGGAUUCAAGAGAAUGAAGAGUAAAUAAUACUAUACUAUAAAUACGUCAACUACAGAUAACCCUCCCAACUACAAUGUUGCACCUGACAACCUCCUACUCAACGAGGCCAAGCUAUCUGCAGGGGACCAUGCCCCUGGACGUUCCUAAGAGGUGUGCUGCUAGAUGACCUUCUUGCUGCUGAAACAACAAAUGCUUGUAACUGCAGCUCCUGCUAACAUGCAAGCUGGAUGAGCACCGGGUUGCUACGAUGAUGAACAAACAUGCAAAUGACUGCAGAAACAACAGCUGAUGGAGCUGUGGUUCUUGGAAACCCAGUUGCUCCUCCUGUUAAUGGGGAUGUGUAUGCGGAUAUCAGCCCUGAGAAUGUUGUGGUCCAGUGACACCGAGAAGAUAGUGCAAAUGUGCUAAUUAUUUGGUUGAAGCAUCUGCUGCAGAGGUUGAGGUAAUUAGUGCUACUUUAGCUGCUAUAAAGGCCAGACAAGUUGGAGAUGAGAUGAGCAUUUUAUCAUAUUGCUUUGCCUGUAAUAACCAAAAUUGAUUGAUUUAGUUUCACACAACAUAGAUAAUUAUAUCGUCAGGUUCAAUUUUACUUAUGAAAGUUGAACAUUUCUUAUCUUGUUAGAUUUCCUCUUUGUAAGUUCUAGGACUUUAGUUAAUUGAACAUCUUAAGGCAUGCAUGCCAGAACUUUCCAGAUGGUAACACUUGAUGCAAUUCUGUUCCUACUAUUCUUACCUGAUACUACCUGGACGACCUUCAAGCAUCAAUAACUUAAUCCUUUUAGGUUUUCUACUUCUUUCUCCAGUACAGACAUAAUAUUGUUUGGUGCUUCCCAAUAUUUGGACGUGAAAGUAGAGAAGCUUUACAUUUCAAGAAAUAUUAGAUUAUCAAUAAGAAAAUAUGGUCCAAGCCGGACUACUACUUCUAAAUGUUUUGUUUUUCACCAAAGGGGAUAUUUUACUUCUCCUAAUCAUGGUCGCCGUGUAACCCGAUGAUAGUAGGAUGGUAAAUAACUACAUCCUUUUUCGGCAUGGCAAAAAAAAAUACAUCCUACCCAUUUGAUGAUUUGCAACUGCAGCUGAACAAUAAU
This is a long non-coding RNA of Triticum aestivum (bread wheat), 2773 nucleotides long. RefSeq lists it as uncharacterized. The record is from RefSeq and is a predicted model, not a curated record. The transcript is spliced from 3 exons. Lineage: Eukaryota; Viridiplantae; Streptophyta; Magnoliopsida; Poales; Poaceae.